Molecule: long non-coding RNA, 3755 nt
Organism: Macaca fascicularis (crab-eating macaque)
Lineage: Eukaryota; Metazoa; Chordata; Mammalia; Primates; Cercopithecidae
Source: Ensembl
UUUUUUUUCUUUCUUAGAACAUAAAAACUGGUGCAUCCCACCACCGGAAGUAUCUGCAAGCCAGUAAAAGAGGGUGAAAAGCUUUAUGGAACUUUAUGUGUGGGACUCACAUGCUGGUUUCCUCCAUUACUAUGGACUGAAUGUUUCUGUCUUUCAAAAAUUCCUGGCCUGGCGCAGUGGCUCACACCUGUAAUCCCAGCACUUUGGGAGGCCGAGGCAGGUGGAUCACCUGAGGUCAGUUCAAGACCAGCCUGGCCAACACGGCAAGAGCCUGUCUCUACUAAAAAUACAAAAAUUAGCUGGAUGUGGUGGCGGGCACCUGUAAUCCCAGCUACUCGGAAAGCUGAGGCAGAAGAAUCGCUUGAAUCCGGAAGGUGGAGGUUGUGGUGAGCCGAGAUCGCACCACUGCACUCCAGCCUGGGCAACAAGAGUGAAACUCCGUCUCAAAAAUAAAAAAAAAUAAAAAAAUAAAAAAUAAAAAUAAAUAAAUAAAUAUAGAAAAUUCCUAUGCUGAAGCCCUAACCCCCAGUGUGAUGGAACUUGGAGGUAGGGCCUUUAGAAGGUUAUUAAUUAGGUCAUGAGGAUGGAGCCCUUGUGAGUGGGAUGAGUACCCUCUCAGUAGAGACGAGAGAGAUGGUCUCUUUGCCACGUGAAGACAGCAAGAACGCAUUCCCUCUGCCAACCAGGAAGAGGUCUUCACCAGCAGUCAGCUCGGCUGGCACCUGAAUCCUGGACUUCCCAGACUUCAGAACUGUAAGGAAUACAUCUCCAUUGUUUAAGCCACCCAGUCCAUGAUAUUUCUGUAAUAGGAGCCCAAACCACGACACCCACACAGAGAGCACCUACACACAGUGUGGUUACAGGCUGCAUCAUUUCUUUUUCUUUUGGCAUAUUUGCAUAUUGUCUAAAUUUUCUACAAUGACCCACCACAUGGAUUCUUUUAAAAGAAAAAAAUGGUAAAUAUGAAAUUGAAUAGUGGCGUUGACCCUUAACAGGAAAAAGACGGCAGAAGACACCAUGUUACUUACAGUAGACUACACAUGUGUGUGAAAUUUGUAAAUAAAAGAUGAAUACUUAUGUCACCACCUUCCUCUCUGAUGUUUCUGAAACCAGAGCAUAUAUGGUUAACCUUGCUCUAGCUCCAGUCCAUCCAUCCAUCCAUCAUCAGGCUAAAACAUAGAGCUGUAGGCAGUGGAGAAGAGCUGUAUGUGGUGAGGAAAGUGGGAGAGACGAAUUCCAGAAAUGUCUACUAAAGCAGUGCUUUAAGUUUUAAUUCCUUCAAGAAACCAAUACGUAUCGGAGCAUAAGUGAGAAAAAGAAAAUAACUGUAAAAAAUACAAAGGAGUCCAGGACAAUAGAAAUCUUUCUUCAUUCACAUAUUCUAGAGAGAAUAGUGAGAAGAAAUUCUCUCUCCAACGUGGACAGCCCCUCACAUCUUGAGCCUUCAUGGAAGUCUUAUCUAAGAAUAGAAUCUCUGCUACACUAACCUAGGAGAGGGCCAGGCAACUGCUGCCGUAUGCCCAUCACCCCAGUGUUCUGGAAGAAAAAGAUGGCAGGGAGAAGUUCUCUUUAGAACCAGCUCUUCCACACCAAAUGAACUCAGGAGACAAUGAAUGAAAACACCAUUCCACAGUGUGAGCGAUGCAAUGUGAAGCGCAAGCAGCAGAGUCUGCUGAAGAAGCUACUCCCCUGAAAUAGGAAAUAAGAAAACCAGUUGGCUCUGAAUCAAAUCCUGUUCCGGUCCUUUUUCUCUUUACCAUUUCCCCUUAAAACUCGGGCUUCCUGAACUGCACCAUAAUUCUAGGAUCUUCAAUUAAGGCAAAUGAGGAUAUACUAGAAAACACUGAUAUAUUAAAUAAACUAAAGAAUAAGACUUAAGUCCAAAAUCCUAUUUUGUGACACAACUCGCCCUUACACAGUAAACCCACCAAGCUCAUUCUCUCUAAUGCCCUGAUGAAGCUGUCAGCAACCCCUUCUACCUCUGAAGACAUCAGAGCAGAAGGGUGGGCUCCUCCAUCGCUGUCUUCAAUGUAAACAACAUUCUUAGGGAGAAUGCUUGCCUCUACCAUGGAAUCUGAGUACAUGCCAUAAGCACCUGCUCAAACCUGACUUUAAGACCCAUUCCAGAAAGAUAUUAUAAAUGCAAAGAUCAUAUGGAGAUCCUGCAGGUACUUCAACAAUUCAUCACCUACUUAGGACACAGGUAUGUGAUGUCUCAUGUUGAAAUGCUAGCAGAUGAUAAGACUCUCCCACCAUUUUCUCCCAUUAGUAUGAACAACUAUGAGUUAGAACCACCUUAUUGAGGGAACAGGACACUGGUCAGGCAUCUAACAUAAAGACACAUCACCACAUUUUAUGAACAAGUUUCUAGCUGUUAACAAUUAUCAUUAUAGGAUACUGUAGGUACCCAAACUGUAGUGAACAAGUGCUGUGAUUUAAUGUCUCUCUCUACUAUUGGCUCUCAGAUGGUUUGGCUAUAUGAGUUUUCCAUUCUAUAUUUGAUUUCAGAUUCUUACUAAAAUAAUUAAGCGGAGAAAGUGUUAAGAAGAAAAACUGUCUCUCAUUUAAUUUUAAUCCUCCCUCCUGGGCCUUCCCCAACUCUAUGCAACAAAGGCUGCAUCAGUUUUUUAAAAUAAUCCGUUUUUUAAAACAUCAAAACUCAAAUAUUCUUACAACCAAGGGGUCUCCAGGUUGAUGAAAAUGGGGAGAUUAUGAUUCCUGUAGCCAGAAGGACAGUUAAAUUCCCAGUCCUCUGAAUUUUCACAAAAUGACUAAUUUUAUUUGAAGCGUUCUAUAUUCCUAAAUAGACAAACUAUAUAAAACAAAUAACAUAUGUUCCAAAGCCCGAAUAUUUUUACAAUGAAGUAUCUGGGCCAUUUCAUUGGCAUGCUAAAAAAAAAAAAAAAAAAAAAAAAAAAACACCACCACCACCAAAAAAAACCUGACCUCAAGAUGAAAUUUUCAAUAAUAUUCAUAUUCACUACUAUCUAGUUAGCUAGUGGCCACAUUUUGGAUGAUUUUCAGUUACUUGUUAAUGAUUAAUAAAAGCAAUCAGUUCUCUAACCCACUCUGUGGCGAUUUCACAAUAAAACCAUUAACCUUUAAGAGUAAAUGCAAAUUAUAAAGCUUUAACAGGCAAUUUUACUCUCUUGGCAUCCAUCACAAGGGUGUUAUUUUAUAAAACAUUCUUUCCUCCAUGAAAUAAGAUAAAAUUAUUCACUUUUCUGUACAAAAUUAUAAUUUUCUCUAAAUGAAAUAUAAAAGCAGAAUAAGUAGCAAAACCCGAACUCAUAGACAUCAUUUGAAUCCUGUCAACUCCAAGGCACAGGCAGGGAGGAGGCAGUGACCAGGCCCCAGCAGUCACUGCCCCUGCACCAGUCACUAGAGGCAUGGGCUCUCGGGAAGGGAGAACCCCCAACAGCCUGGGGCACUCACUGAAAAGCACAGCAGACCCAUUUCUCACCAGCAGCUGCUACUAGGAGGGGUCUGGCCACUCCAAAGAGCCAGGGAGCACAACCCAAGGGACUAGACAAGCCUCCCCUCCAGGAACUGGAAAACAGAUGCUCCAGGGCUACCGCUCCAAGCCAAGGCCUCACACUGAGGAGAAAGCGCUGGCAGUGGAUUCAAAAAGGAGCAAAACAGGGACACGGACAAAGAAAAGGCAGGCAAAACUGGGAGAGGGGAAGCAGCAAAUCUGCACAAAAGCCACAGCCGAAGGAGCUCUAACAGGGCAGCGUAUACCUCUCUCAAGCCUC